AACGAACGCUGGCGGCAUGCCUAACACAUGCAAGUCGAACGAGACCUUCGGGUCUAGUGGCGCACGGGUGCGUAGCGCGUGGGAACCUGCCUUUAGGUUCGGGAUAACUCAGAGAAAUUUGAGCUAAUACCGGAUGAUGUCUUCGGACCAAAGAUUUAUCGCCUUUAGAUGGGCCCGCGUUGGAUUAGCUAGUUGGUGGGGUAAAGGCCUACCAAGGCGACGAUCCAUAGCUGGUCUGAGAGGAUGAUCAGCCACACUGGGACUGAGACACGGCCCAGACUCCUACGGGAGGCAGCAGUGGGGAAUAUUGGACAAUGGGCGAAAGCCUGAUCCAGCAAUGCCGCGUGAGUGAUGAAGGCCUUAGGGUUGUAAAGCUCUUUUACCCGAGAUGAUAAUGACAGUAUCGGGAGAAUAAGCGCCGGCUAACUCCGUG
Molecule: ribosomal RNA, 433 nt
Filed under: uncultured bacterium
Lineage: Bacteria
Description: partial 16S ribosomal RNA
Rfam family: Bacterial small subunit ribosomal RNA
Source: RNAcentral